Molecule: ribosomal RNA, 372 nt
Filed under: uncultured organism
Description: partial 16S ribosomal RNA
Rfam family: Bacterial small subunit ribosomal RNA
Source: RNAcentral
GUAGGUGGCAAGCGUUGUCCGGAAUUAUUGGGCGUAAAGCGCGCGCAGGCGGUUCUUUAAGUCUGAUGUGAAAGCCCACGGGCUCAACCGUGGAGGGUCAUUGGAAACUGGAGAACUUGAGUACAGAAGAGGAAAGCGGAAUUCCACGUGUAGCGGUGAAAUGCGUAGCGAUGUGGAGGAACACCAGUGGCGAAGGCGGCUUUCUGGUCUGUAACUGACGCUGAGGCGCGAAAGCGUGGGGAGCAAACAGGAUUAGAUACCCUGGUAGUCCACGCCGUAAACGAUGAGUGCUAAGUGUUAGGGGGUUUCCGCCCCUUAGUGCUGCAGCUAACGCAUUAAGCACUCCGCCUGGGGAGUACGGCCGCAAGGCUG